RNAcentral lists this ribosomal RNA (656 nucleotides) under uncultured bacterium. Its description in RNAcentral is "bacterial SSU rRNA". It matches the Rfam family "Bacterial small subunit ribosomal RNA", at positions 772 to 1428 of the family's 1533-position model. The record is from RNAcentral.
ACAGGAUUAGAUACCCUGGUAGUCCAUGCCGUAAACGUUGGGCACUAGGUGUGGGGACAUUCCACGUUCUCCGCGCCGUAGCUAACGCAUUAAGUGCCCCGCCUGGGGAGUACGGCCGCAAGGCUAAAACUCAAAGGAAUUGACGGGGGCCCGCACAAGCGGCGGAGCAUGCGGAUUAAUUCGAUGCAACGCGAAGAACCUUACCAAGGCUUGACAUGCACCGGACGGCUGCAGAAAUGUGGCUUUCUUCGGACUGGUGCACAGGUGGUGCAUGGUUGUCGUCAGCUCGUGUCGUGAGAUGUUGGGUUAAGUCCCGCAACGAGCGCAACCCUUGUUCCAUGUUGCCAGCGCGUUAUGGCGGGGACUCAUGGGAGACUGCCGGGGUCAACUCGGAGGAAGGUGGGGACGACGUCAAAUCAUCAUGCCCCUUAUGUCUUGGGCUUCACGCAUGCUACAAUGGCCGGUACAAUGGGUUGCGAAACUGUGAGGUGGAGCGAAUCCCAAAAAGCCGGUCUCAGUUCGGAUUGGGGUCUGCAACUCGACCCCAUGAAGUCGGAGUCGCUAGUAAUCGCAGAUCAGCAACGCUGCGGUGAAUACGUUCCCGGGCCUUGUACACACCGCCCGUCAAGUCACGAAAGUCGGUAACACCCGAAGCC